RNAcentral lists this unclassified non-coding RNA (306 nucleotides) under uncultured Gymnoascus. RNAcentral's name for it is "sequence contains ITS1". The stretch from base 1 to 105 matches the Rfam family "5.8S ribosomal RNA", at positions 50 to 154 of the family's 154-position model. The record is from RNAcentral. Lineage: Eukaryota; Fungi; Ascomycota; Eurotiomycetes; Onygenales; Gymnoascaceae.
GAGAUGCGAUAAGUCAUGUGAAUUGCAGAAUUCCGUGGAUCAUCGAAUCUUUGAACGCACAUUGCGCCCGCCGGUAUUCCGGGGGGCGUGCCUGUCCGAGCGGCCUUGCAACCCUCAAGCCCGGCUUGUGUGCUGGGUCGCCGUCCCCCCGUGGACGGGCCCGAAAGGCAGUGGCGGCGUCGCGGUUAUCCGAUCGCCUGGUGUAUGGGGCUCUGUCACGCACCACGGCCUGGACCGGCGCCGGCCGACUCUCCACUACUUUCUUAGGUUCACCUCGGAUCAGGUAGGGAUACCCGCUAAUCUUAA